AACGAACGCUGGCGGCAUGCCUAACACAUGCAAGUCGAACGAGAUCUUCAGGUCUGGUGGCGCACGGGUGCGUAACGCGUGGGAAUCUGCCCUUUGGUUCGGAAUAACAGUUGGAAACGACUGCUAAUACCGGAUGAUGACGAAAGUCCAAAGAUUUAUCGCCAGAGGAUGAGCCCGCGUAGGAUUAGCUAGUUGGUGUGGUAAAGGCGCACCAAGGCGACGAUCCUUAGCUGGUCUGAGAGGAUGAUCAGCCACACUGGGACUGAGACACGGCCCAGACUCCUACGGGAGGCAGCAGUGGGGAAUAUUGGACAAUGGGCGAAAGCCUGAUCCAGCAAUGCCGCGUGAGUGAUGAAGGCCUUAGGGUUGUAAAGCUCUUUUACCCGGGAUGAUAAUGACAGUACCGGGAGAAUAAGCUCCGGCUAACUCCGUGCCAGCCGCCGCGGUAA
RNAcentral lists this ribosomal RNA (449 nucleotides) under uncultured bacterium. RNAcentral's name for it is "partial 16S ribosomal RNA". It matches the Rfam family "Bacterial small subunit ribosomal RNA", at positions 29 to 523 of the family's 1533-position model. The record is from RNAcentral.